UGGGGAAUAUUGCACAAUGGGCGAAAGCCUGAUGCAGCGACGCCGCGUGAGGGAUGACGGCCUUCGGGUUGUAAACCUCUUUCGACAGGGACGAAGCGCAAGUGACGGUACCUGUAGAAGAAGCACCGGCCAACUACGUGCCAGCAGCCGCGGUAAUACGUAGGGUGCGAGCGUUGUCCGGAAUUACUGGGCGUAAAGAGCUUGUAGGCGGUUUGUCGCGUCGUCUGUGAAAACUCACAGCUCAACUGUGAGCUUGCAGGCGAUACGGGCAGACUUGAGUACUGCAGGGGAGACUGGAAUUCCUGGUGUAGCGGUGAAAUGCGCAGAUAUCAGGAGGAACACCGGUGGCGAAGGCGGGUCUCUGGGCAGUAACUGACGCUGAGAAGCGAAAGCGUGGGUAGCGAACAGGAUUAGAUACCCUGGUAGUCCACGCCGUAAACGGUGGGUACUAGGUGUGGGUUUCCUUCCACGGGAUCCGUGCCGUAGCUAACGCAUUAAGUACCCCGCCUGGGGAGUACGGCCGCAAGGCU
Molecule: ribosomal RNA, 530 nt
Filed under: uncultured bacterium
Lineage: Bacteria
Description: bacterial SSU rRNA
Rfam family: Bacterial small subunit ribosomal RNA
Source: RNAcentral